UUUAUACUCCCUCUGUCCAACAAAGGGCGUCUCAAUUUUAAUUAAAUUUAAAUGCAUCUAUACACUAAGUCAUGUCUAGAUACAUCCAAAUUUUGACAAACUUGAGACAUGUUUUGUUGGACGGAUGGAGUACCAA
Brachypodium distachyon (stiff brome) is the source of this 136-nucleotide non-coding RNA. NCBI's taxonomy places the organism in Eukaryota, Viridiplantae, Streptophyta, Magnoliopsida, Poales, Poaceae. The record is from Rfam.